This is a transfer RNA of Hypsibius dujardini, 72 nucleotides long. It matches the Rfam family "tRNA". Rfam says of the family: Transfer RNA (tRNA) molecules are approximately 80 nucleotides in length. NCBI's taxonomy places the organism in Eukaryota, Metazoa, Tardigrada, Eutardigrada, Parachela, Hypsibiidae. The record is from Rfam.
GCCUGUAUAGCUCAGUGGUAGAGCACCAGUCUUGUAAACUGGGGGUCCAGUGUUCGAUCCACUGUUCAGGCU